Long non-coding RNA from Acanthopagrus latus (yellowfin seabream), 613 nucleotides. RefSeq lists it as uncharacterized. Lineage: Eukaryota; Metazoa; Chordata; Actinopteri; Spariformes; Sparidae. The record is from RefSeq and is a predicted model, not a curated record. The transcript has 3 exons.
CUGUUGUAGCUACGGUGACCACAGACGCAUUCGGCUGACGGUCGCCAGUUAACAUGGACCCGUGUUAAUACGAAACACCGGACGCACCGGCAGGUCCAAAACCGGACGUAUGGAUGAGUGACCCUGACAGAAGCAGCAACAGACGGAAGAGGGUUCCAAAGAUCCUUGUAUUUACCAGGAAAACUACAGCUUAAGUUACAGCAUGCGUUGCUUACUAUAGAGAUGCUCUUAACAAUAUUGGAAAAGGAAGCGUGGGGUUUGGAUUGAGUGCAGCAGACUAUGAGAUCAGCAGCAUCCGCAGAGUGGCCAGCAAGACCAGCGUGACAAAAGAUCACUGAAAGCGAGUGGUCAUCCCAUCUCGAGGGUUGUAGCACCCAAUAAUGUAAUAAUAUCCUGAAAAUGUAAUAACGCCUGAAAAUGUAAGAAAAAGUGCACGUAACUUGAUCAAAAAUGUAGUAAAACCCAAUAAUGUGAUAACUUCACCAAUAAUGUAAUAACAUAUCCUGACUGAUAUUGUAAUAACAUUUUUACUGAUAAUGUAAUACCUUAUUACAUUAUGGGGAAUUUAUUACAUUUUCAGGUGGGUCUUUUUUUUUCAAAACUGAUAAUGUAA